Vicia villosa (hairy vetch) is the source of this 333-nucleotide long non-coding RNA. RefSeq lists it as uncharacterized. The record is from RefSeq and is a predicted model, not a curated record. The transcript is spliced from 4 exons. NCBI's taxonomy places the organism in Eukaryota, Viridiplantae, Streptophyta, Magnoliopsida, Fabales, Fabaceae.
GAUUAUUUUAUAUAAGGCCUAAACUGAUUUUUUUACACAUUUGCAAACUUUUUCUCUCUCUUUUUUCCUCAGUCCCUCUAAAAAAAAUUUCCUGUUGCAGAUCUAUACGAAGAUGAAAACUGAUUUUGAAGUUUUUUGUUUUCCAGAUCUAUCAAAACAAAGACGAAUCCGGGUACUAAAACAACAACGACAAUAUGUGUGACAAUAUAAAUUAUGGUUCUACAUCUUCUGAUAGGAAAACAAAAAGUUAAACAUAUGGACAAUUUCUUAACAUUUUUUUUUUCACUUCUUUUUAUUUUUAUUAAUUUUUCUCUCUUCUUUUUAGAAUUUGUC